AACUUUCAACAAUGGAUCACUUGGCUCUCGCAUCGAUGACGAACGCAGCGAAAUGCGAUAAGUAAUGUGAAUUGCAGAAUUCAGUGAAUCAUCGAAUCUUUGAACGCACCUUGCGCCCUUUGGCUAUUCCGAAGGGCAUGCCUGUUUGAGUAUCAUGAACACCUCAACCCUCACGGUUCCUCGUGAUGGGCUUGGACUUGGGGGCUUUGUUGGCCGGUGGUCAGGCCUCCUCGAGUUAAUCAGCUCACCAGUGUCUGGCGGCACCAUGGGUCGGAUACCCAUCUACGCUGGUGAUCUCCUGCGAGGUAACCCGCUGGUCUGUAUAGGUGCGCUGGAGCUUAUAGAUGUCUCUCCCCAGUGGAGACAGGUUUGCGAAGUUGGAUCUCAAAACAGGUAGGACUACCCGCUGAACUUGCGCAUAUUAAUAAGCGGAGGCU
This 437-nucleotide unclassified non-coding RNA is filed under the name uncultured Thelephoraceae. RNAcentral describes it as "sequence contains ITS2". The stretch from base 1 to 155 matches the Rfam family "5.8S ribosomal RNA". Lineage: Eukaryota; Fungi; Basidiomycota; Agaricomycetes; Thelephorales; Thelephoraceae. The record is from RNAcentral.